GCUGUCUGUUGCAGCUUGCUGUUUCCCAGAAUGAGAAUAAAUGAGUGGCACGAGGGAAAGGCAUUUAAGGCUAACAUGACAAACUUUAUGCACUUGUUGUUCCACAACAUAAAAAAUAUCCAAUUGGCCACUUGUAAGGAAAAAAAAUGAACUAUGAAGAGGAAAAGGAAAGACAUCACCAUUUUCAUGGCCCUCCUAUGGGCCUCUGUGCUGGAGUCUCUAGAGCCCAAGGAACUGAGCUUCAAAUUUCUAGUAUGUCUCACCAAGGACAGAAAUAAAAAAAGCAAGGAGGUCAGGAACAGAGAAAAGGGGAUAAAACUGGUCAAGCUGAGAAGAGUUUUUAAAAUAGAGAGUUUAUCAUAGAGAGUUUUACUUUCAUCUAAAUAUAAAGUCAGAUUACUUUUAUCUAUUAUAUUGAGUGAGAUAUCAAUAAAUAUUUCUAGCACUAAACUGUCAAAAAUCAGUAAGAACAAAGACAAUAUAAGAAGCAUAACAAUCAUUCCGUUCAUCCUCCACCUCAGCCAGAGGAAAAGGGAGUGGGGGAAGUGGGCUAUCUUAAAGAAAUAGAAAAUGCUUAGGCAGGUGGCAAGCCAGGUUGUCAAGUGAUUAGUCAUGUGCCAAAGCAUAAUAACAGUUUUUCCUAGUCUAUAUGUGGUAUAUAAAUGUGAAGCAAGUCCCACUAGAAAUGAAUCAAACAGUAUCACCAACAGUUGUCCAAUUGUGGAGAUAGCCAAGCAGGUGAGGAUGAAGUCAGCUGAGAAGACCUUUUGGUUCUUGAUCCCUUCAGAGCAGUUUACCAGUCCAAUGAACACAUUCCCCAGCAUGCUGAUGAUGAAUUCUGCUAUUGCCAGA
RNAcentral lists this long non-coding RNA (852 nucleotides) under Homo sapiens (human). RNAcentral's name for it is "HSALNT0185650". The record is from RNAcentral. Lineage: Eukaryota; Metazoa; Chordata; Mammalia; Primates; Hominidae.